This 492-nucleotide ribosomal RNA is filed under the name uncultured bacterium. RNAcentral's name for it is "partial 16S ribosomal RNA". It matches the Rfam family "Bacterial small subunit ribosomal RNA", at positions 29 to 507 of the family's 1533-position model. The record is from RNAcentral.
AGUGAACGCUGGCGGUAGGCCUAACACAUGCAAGUCGAACGGCAGCACAGUAAGAGCUUGCUCUUACGGGUGGCGAGUGGCGGACGGGUGAGGAAUACAUCGGAAUCUACUUUUUCGUGGGGGAUAACGUAGGGAAACUUACGCUAAUACCGCAUACGACCUACGGGUGAAAGCAGGGGAUCUUCGGACCUUGCGCGAUUGAUUGAGCCGAUGUCGGAUUAGCUAGUUUGCGGGGUAAAGGCCCACCAAUGCUACGAUCCGUAGCUGGUCUGAGAGGAUGAUCAGCCACACUGGAACUUAGACACGGUCCAGACUCCUACGAGAGGCAGCAGUUGGGAAUAUUGGACAAUGGGCGCAAGCCUGAUCCAGCCAUACCGCGUGGGUGAAGAAGGCCUUCGGGUUGUAAAGCCCUUUUGUUGGGAAAGAAAAGCAGCAGGUUAAUACCCCGCUGUUAUGACGGUACCCAAAGAAUAAGCACCGGCUAACUUCGUG